UGGGGAAUUUUGCACAAUGGGGGAAACCCUGAUGCAGCGACGCCGCGUGAAUGAAGAAGGUCUUCGGAUUGUAAAGUUCUGUCCUUGGUGAAGAUAAUGACAGUAACCAAGAAGAAAGCCCCGGCUAAAUACGUGCCAGCAGCCGCGGUAAUACGUAUGGGGCGAGCGUUGUCCGGAAUUAUUGGGCGUAAAGGGUACGUAGGCGGUAAGUUAAGUCUGAAUUAAAAGGCAUUGGCUCAACCAAUGUAAGGUUCAGAUACUGGUUUACUUGAGUAGAUGAGGGGAAAGUGGAAUUCCUAGUGUAGCGGUGAAAUGCGUAGAUAUUAGGAGGAAUACCAGUGGCGAAGGCGACUUUCUGGAAUCUAACUGACGCUGAGGUACGAAAGCGUGGGGAGCAAACAGG
RNAcentral lists this ribosomal RNA (403 nucleotides) under uncultured bacterium. RNAcentral's name for it is "bacterial SSU rRNA". It matches the Rfam family "Bacterial small subunit ribosomal RNA", at positions 355 to 776 of the family's 1533-position model. The record is from RNAcentral.